CACUGUCGAACUCGUAGGCACCAGCUCACUGGGGGCAGUUCAAGGGGCCGCCCAUUCUCGGCUGAAAUCCCUGGUCACCGGCGCCAUCAACCAACCUCGAGCUCUCACCGCCAUUGCCCUCAUGCUCCAGCCCGGCCUCAUUGCUGUUCUCGAAUCUGGGCCCGGAAGGGAAGAGUGGUCGCAUAUACAGAAGCCAAGAAGGUGACAUUUGACAUUUGAGAAUAUUGGCAAGUUCUUCGUGAGCUUUGAACCGGGGCCUGUUAUGGAUACCCUCAACGAGUUGUUUGAGGGGUUGCUUCAAGGUUUUAGAGCUCAUCCUCUCAACUUCCCUGGAACAGCUUUACCACCAUGCUCUACAGUGUCGCAGGAAAGCUGAGGCAAUCUUUUGGGGAGGAGCUGGAGAGGCGGAAGAACAGCAGCCUGGAUGGAUCCGAGAACUGAAAUGACCUCAUGGAAGGGUUGAUGCAGUUAACGGACGAAGAAGGGAAGCGAUUAAGCGACAAGGAAGUGGUUGACAACAUUGUUAGCCUUGUUAUUGCAGGAUAUAUGUCCACUUCCUUUGCAAUGAUGUGGGCAUUGUACUAUCUUGCCAAGGACCCGAAUGUUCUUCAAAAGCUUAGGGAAGAGAACAUACACAUCAGCCAGGAGAAGAAUGAUAAGCUUAUUACAAGUGAUGAUAUUUCAAACAUGAAGGAUACAAAUAAGGUGUAUUCUGUUUGGUUAUUGAGAAUCGUUUUCUUUUCUCUUUGCUGAAGCAGAGAAACCAGGUUAUCAACUCUUUUGAUAUGCAGGUGGUAGAAGAAACCACAUAAGAUCAUGGCCAACAUUGCUCAAUUUCUUUUCAUAACUGUUACAAGAAAUGUUGAUUACAAAGGUUAAAAUUCCCAAAGGAUGGAAAGUAAUCCUUUGGACUUGAUAUCUCCACACCGAUCCAGGAAACUUUGCUGAUCCUAUGUGCUUUAACCGGGACAGAUGAGAUGCACCAGCAAGGGCUGGAACACACCUUGUGUUUGGUGGGGGACUGAGAUUGUGUGCAGGAAACAUGCUGGCUAAGCUACAAUUGUCGCCAUUUUUCUUCAUCACUUGGCUGUAGGUUACAAGUGGGAACUGGUGAAUCCCAAUGCCAAAAUGACUUAUCUUGCUCAUCCAAAACCGGUUGAUGGAGUUGAGAUUACCUUUGGGAGAACUGACAAAGCAAAGUGAAGCAAACCCAUAUAGGUGUAAUUGUUUUCUGGGUGCUUAGUAUAUUUGUGCUUGCUUUGAUCUGUUUCUGUAUGCUUCUUGUGGGGUUGAUGAGAUGUGAAUGCUUGUUACUAAAACUAAGCUAAUGACUGAGCAAUUGCCAACAUCAACUUUUCCACUACCCAGAGUAAUUUGAACAUUUACUUAGUCCGUAUAUAUCAUGGAUGACAUCGGAGAUCCUGCUCAGUUGACACGUAAUAGGCCACCCUCGGCCUUGGGAGUAACGCCCUAUAAGCCAGAUAACCUUCAUGUCAUGUUACCAAAAUUUAAACCAAGUCAACUACCCUCCAAGUCUCGUAUGAAGUCAUGAAGAAAUGGAAUUAUUCUCUCUUGGAGCCAGCCUUGUCGGCUGGCGGAAACCAGACGAGAGAAUAAUCUCUUAAGGAAUCUUUCACCCCACUAUAUAUAUAUAUACACAAAGCGCCGGAAAUGCAUAUGCCCGACGAUGGACAGAGAUUCAGAUAUGCAAGUCUGGGUGGUGGUGUGGAUUGCCGGAGCUCUGCCGCUGGUAGGGUGGCUGCUGUGGCGGUUGAACGACGUCUGGUACUCCCGCCUCUGCCUUAGCGCCGCCAAGCUCCCUCCUGGCCACAUGGGCCUUCCUUUCUUUGGCGAGAUGCCGACCUUCCUCUGGUACUUCAAGGCUCUUCGCCGCCCCGAUGACUUCAUCAACGCCAAGCGCCGCAAGUAUGGUGAUGGAGUUGGAAUGUACAGAAGCCACCUGUUCGGAUCUCCAGCGAUAAUAGCAUGCUCGCCGUCGGCCAACAAGUUUGUCCUGCAAUCAAGCAGUGAUUUCAUCAUUUACUGGCCCUCUGUUGAGCUCGUAGGCACCCGCUCCCUGGGUGCAGUGGAAGGGGCAGCCCAUUGGAGGGUGAGAUCCCUGGUUUCCACCGCCAUCAACCAACCUCGAGCUCUCAGCAUCAUCUCUCUCACGGUCCAGCCCCGCCUCCUCGCUGUUCUCAAAUCCUGGGCUCAGAAGGGGAGAAUCGUAGGUUACACAGAAGCUAAGAAGAUGACGUUUGAGAAUGUUGCCAAGCUCUUCGCAAGCUUUGAACCAGGGCCUCUUGUGGAUACCCUUGACGAGUUGCUUGUGGGGUUGAUUAGAGGUCUUAGAGCUUAUCCUUUCUACUUUCCUGGAACAGCUUACCACCAUGCUUUUCGGUGUCGCAAGAAAGCUGAGGCAAUAUUUUGGGAAGAGCUCGAAAGGCGGAAGAAGAGCAGGGUGGAUGGAUCAAAGAACAAAAAUGACCUAAUGGAAGAGUUGAUGAAGUUAAAGAAUGAAGAAGGGAAGCCAUUAAUGGACAUGGAAGUGAUUGAUAACAUUAUUACCCUUCUUGUUGGAGGAUAUUUCUCCACUUCCCUUGCAAUGAUGUGGGCAUUGUAUUAUCUCGCCGAGUACCCCGAUGUUCUCCAAAAGCUUAGGGAGGAGAACAUGCAGAUCAGCCAGGAGAAGAAUGACGAGUUUAUUACAAGUGAUGAUAUUUCAAAAAUGAAGUAUACAAAUAAGGUGGUAGAAGAAACACUAAGAAUGGCCAACAUUUCUCAAUUCCUUGUCAGAACUGCUACCAGAGAUGUUGAUUACAAAGGUUACAGAAUUCCCAAAGGAUGGAAAAUAAUCGUUUGGAAUCGAUAUCUCCACACCGAUCCAGAAAACUACGAUGAUCCAAUGCGGUUCAAUCCAGAUCGAUGGGAUGCACCAGCAAAGCCAGGAACACACAUGGUAUUCGGUUGGGGAUCGCGAUUGUGUGCAGGAAACAUGCUGGCUAAGCUACAAGUCGCCAUUUUUAUCCAUCACUUGGCUGUAGGUUACAAGUGGGAACUGGUCAAUCCCAAUGCCCAAAUGACCUAUCUCCCUCAUCCAAAACCGGCUGAUGGAGUUGAGAUUACCUUCAGCAGACUUGGCAAAGCUUAAGUGAAAAGCAAGCAACCAUAUGUUUUGGGCCUUUUGGCAAAGUGAUCCAUCACUACUUGUUGAUUAGUGUAUUGGGCUUCCUUUUAGUUCUGUAUACUCCAAAUAACAUUGCUUCUAAGAGUGAAUAACAUUUUGGUUAAAUCGAAUCAGUCAAAAUUAACAGUUUAGUUCAAUCUAUAUUUCGGUUUGUUUAAUUUUCAAAUUCGAGUGUUUCGACUCUUUCGAUCUAGAUUUAAUUCGGUGUCCGCAUUAAAAAAAUAAAAAUAACUGAUUAAAAUAUAGAAAAUAAUGCUUUUUUUAUCAAUUUUUUUUAUUUUUCUAAUUUUUUGAUUUAUGCAAUUUUAACAUCUAUUCGAUUAGUUUGAUUCCGUUUAAUUUUUUUUUAAAACAAAAUUAAUGUAUUCAGUUUGAACAAUUCAAUCGAUUUGAGUGUCGGCCAGCGGCGGUGGUUUCCGACCACUGUCGUCGGAGGCUGCCAAGCCACGGCCAUCUUGCUGUUUGGGGCUAGGGUUCAUGGCGAAAAAGAAGAAGAAGCCGACGCAGAAGAAGCAAAAGAAGAAAACGACGCAGAGGAAGCAGAAGAAGUAAAAGAAGAAGCAAGAUCGCACAUGGCAUCCGAGAAGAAAAGACCGAACCGAGGGAGAGCAAAGGGGAUUCGAAGCCACGGACCAAGAUACCAUCAAUCUUGGCCAUGGCGCAACCCCACACAGAAUCAAAAUCAAUGGAAUGACGGCACAGGGCUACGUUCUUACCUGCGAUUUCCGGCCACCCACAGCACUGAGAAGAAGAAGGAGAGAGAGAGAGAGAGAGAGAGAGAGAGAGAGAGAGAACAGAAGAUAGCGCAAGAGAAAGAUCGAGAAGAGGGAGUCGGUUGCUGAAUAAAUCUUGCAAGAGGGGAAGACGUUGCUGCCAUGGAAGGAAAGGUGCGAGAUUUCCGAUUCGUGAAUGGGGGAUGAGAAGGGGGAAGCUUGAUCCACGCCUCUAAGGAAGGAAUCGCCGGCUGUUGCAGAGAAGAGGAAGGGAGCUUGGAGCCCUAGGGCUCCCUUUGCACAUGGGCUCGGCUCCUCUUGGCCUUCUCGAUGAUAAGGCCCAGAUUGGGCCUUAUAUCCUAUGUGCUUUAACCCGGACAGAUGGGAUGUAAAUCAAUCUGAAAGACCAAAUGAACAAAAAAGAAGUUGUGAUCGAUGAAUGUUACAUAUUCUACUUCCUCAGGCACCAACAAAGGCUAGAACACACCUUGUGUUUGGUGGGGGACUGAGAUUGUGUGCAGGAAACAUGGUGGCUAAGCUACAAGUCGUCAUUUUUCUUCAUCACUUGGCUGUAGGUUACAAGUGGGAACUGGUCAAUCCCAAUGCCCAAAUGACCUAUCUCCCUCAUCCAAAACCGGCUGAUGGAGUUGAGAUUACCUUCAGCAGACUUGGCAAAGCUUAAGUGAAAAGCAAGCAACCAUAUGUUUUGGGCCUUUUGGCAAAGUGAUCCAUCACUACUUGUUGAUUAGUAUAUUGGUCUUCCUUUUGGUUCUGUAUGCUCCAAAUAACAUUGCUUCUAAGAGUGAAUAACGUUUUGGUUAAAUGGAACCAGUCAAAA
RNA transcript from Diospyros lotus (date-plum), 4738 nucleotides. It is a transcript of the gene named ent-kaurenoic acid oxidase-like, with no coding region annotated. The record is from RefSeq and is a predicted model, not a curated record. Lineage: Eukaryota; Viridiplantae; Streptophyta; Magnoliopsida; Ericales; Ebenaceae. The transcript is spliced from 16 exons.